CAAUAAGCAAAAUAAGGGCGUAUGGGGGAUGCCUUGGCUCUCAGAGGCGAUGAAAGGCGUGAUAAGCUGCGAAAAGCUACGGGGAUUGGCACACACGAUACGAUCCGUAGAUACCUGAAUGGGGCAACCCACUAUGUUGAAGACAUAGUACACCGAUAGGUGGGCAAACCCGCUGAACUGAAACAUCUAAGUAGGCGGAGGAGAAGAAAACAAAAGUGAUUCCGUAAGUAGUGGCGAGCGAACGCGGAUUAGCCCAAACCAAUGUUGUUACGGCAAUGUUGGGGUUGUAGGACCACGACAUUUUAUGUACAAAGAAUUAGAAUCUACUGGAAAGUAGAGCCAAAGAAGGUGAUAGCCCUGUAUAAGUAAUGAGUAUAAUAGAUAGUGGUAUCCUGAGUAGGGCGGGACACGAGAAAUCCUGUCUGAAUUUGGCGGGACCAUCCGCUAAGGCUAAAUACUCCUGAGAGACCGAUAGUGAACCAGUACCGUGAGGGAAAGGUGAAAAGAACCGUGAAUAACGGAGUGAAAUAGAUCCUGAAACCAUACGCUUACAAGCGGUCGGAGCCCCUUCGUGGGGUGACGGCGUGCCUUUUGCAUAAUGAGCCUACGAGUUAACGUUGCUGGCAAGGAUAAGUGGUUAAGCCACGGAUCCGUAGCGAAAGCGAGUCUGAAUAGGGCGCUUUAGUCAGUAGUGUUAGACGCGAAACCGUGUGAUCUACCCAUGGGCAGGUUGAAGCUGUGGUAACACAUAGUGGAGGACCGAACCGGUUGACGUUGAAAAGUCUUCGGAUGACCUGUGGGUAGGGGUGAAAGGCCAAUCAAACUCGGAAAUAGCUCGUACUCCCCGAAAUGCAUUUAGGUGCAGCGUUAGUUAUAAAGUUAUAUAGAGGUAGAGCUACUGAUUGGAUGCGGGGGCUUCACCGCCUACCAAUUCCUGACAAACUCCGAAUGCUAUAUAAUGUUCACUAACAGUGAGGGCUUGGGUGCUAAGGUCCAAGUCCGAGAGGGAAAGAACCCAGACCAUCAGCUAAGGUCCCCAAAUAUAUACUAAGUUGAAAGAACGAGGUUUGUCUGCCCAGACAGCUAGGAUGUUGGCUUGGAAGCAGCCAUUCAUUUAAAGAGUGCGUAACAGCUCACUAGUCGAGCGGACGAGCAUGGAUAAUAAUCGGGCAUAAGUAUAUUACCGAAGCUAUGGAUUACCUAUUUAUUU
RNAcentral lists this ribosomal RNA (1210 nucleotides) under Flavobacterium sp. CG_9.1. Its description in RNAcentral is "partial 23S ribosomal RNA". It matches the Rfam family "Bacterial large subunit ribosomal RNA", at positions 1 to 1220 of the family's 2925-position model. The record is from RNAcentral. Lineage: Bacteria; Pseudomonadati; Bacteroidota; Flavobacteriia; Flavobacteriales; Flavobacteriaceae.